This 620-nucleotide ribosomal RNA is filed under the name Staphylococcus equorum. RNAcentral's name for it is "bacterial SSU rRNA". It matches the Rfam family "Bacterial small subunit ribosomal RNA", at positions 78 to 687 of the family's 1533-position model. The record is from RNAcentral. Lineage: Bacteria; Bacillati; Bacillota; Bacilli; Caryophanales; Staphylococcaceae.
GUGCUCUUUGCAGUUAGGGGCGGAUGAGUGAUGCAUCGUGUCUGCCUACCUAUAAGACUGGAAUAACUUCGGGAAACCGGAUAUAAUGCCGGACAACCGUUGGAACCGCGGGGAUCUUAAGUAAAAGAUGGAUUUGCUAUCACUUAUAGAUGGACCCGCGCCGUAUUAGCUAGUUGGCAAGGUAACGGCUUACCAAGGCAACGAUACGUAGCCGACCUGAGAGGGUGAUCGGGAACCAUGGACCUGACACACGCGCCAGACUCCUACGGGAGGUAUUGGUAGGUAAUCUUCCGCAAUGGACAAAAGUCUGACGGAGCAACGCCGCGUGAUCGAUGAAGGUUUUCGUAUCGUAAAACUCUGUUAUUAGGAAAGAACAACUGUGUAAGUAACUGUGCACAUCUUGACGGUACCUAAUCAGAAAGCCACGGCUAACUACGUGCCAGCAGCCGGGGUAAUACGUAGGUCGCAAGCGUUAUCCGGAAUUAUUGGGCGUAAAGCGCGCGUAGGCGGUUUCUUAAGUCUGAUGUGAAAGCCCGCGACUCGCCCGUGGAGGGUCAUUGCUAAACUGGGAAACUUGAGUGCAGAAGAUGAAAGUGUAAUUCCAUGUGUCGCGGAGAAAU